GCCGAAAUAGCUCAGUUGGGAUAGCGUUUGACUGAAGAUCUAAAAGUCCCUAGUUCGAUCCCUGGUUUCGGCA
Molecule: transfer RNA, 73 nt
Filed under: Daphnia pulex (common water flea)
Lineage: Eukaryota; Metazoa; Arthropoda; Branchiopoda; Diplostraca; Daphniidae
Rfam family: tRNA
About the family: Transfer RNA (tRNA) molecules are approximately 80 nucleotides in length. Their secondary structure includes four short double-helical elements and three loops (D, anti-codon, and T loops).
Source: Rfam by way of RNAcentral